This is a long non-coding RNA of Oncorhynchus keta (chum salmon), 413 nucleotides long. RefSeq lists it as uncharacterized. The transcript has 4 exons. Lineage: Eukaryota; Metazoa; Chordata; Actinopteri; Salmoniformes; Salmonidae. The record is from RefSeq and is a predicted model, not a curated record.
UCAAACAUCCACUUGUCACUCAGGAACUUGGUCCUGAAAAAAAGAGUUGUUGUUGUUGGUUACUUCAUCCACUAGGAACAGCUGUUAAUGGUUCAGAUUAAAGAGAAGGGUUGUUAGUUACUUCAUCCACUAGGAACAGCUGUUAAUGGUUCAGAUUAAAGAGAAGGGUUGUUAGUUACUUCAUCCACUAGGAACAGCUGUUAAUGGUUCAGAUUAAAGAGAAGGGUUGUUAGUUACUUCAUCCACUAGGAACAGCUGUUAAUGGUUCAGAUUAAAGAGAAGGGUUGUUAGUUACUUCAUCCACUAGGAACAGCUGUUAAUGGUUCAGAUUAAAGAGAAGGGUUGUUAGUUACUUCAUCCACUAGGAACAGCUGUUAAUGGUUCAGAUUAAAGAGAAGGGUUGUUAGUUACUU